This 563-nucleotide long non-coding RNA is filed under the name Homo sapiens (human). RNAcentral's name for it is "non-protein coding ZFPM2-AS1:4". Lineage: Eukaryota; Metazoa; Chordata; Mammalia; Primates; Hominidae. The record is from RNAcentral.
CUUGACCGCAGCACAUCCGUUUUCCUUACAGUAUGUAGUACGCAUUCUACCUUUUCCUACAAUGAAUCCACCAGCAGAAAUUCCUGUACACAUCUUAUCAACAAAGAAUUUGAACCUCAAAGAGUGGCUCAAAGAGGUCAGGAGGCACCUUCAACACUUUUAUUGGAGAUCUCCUUGUCUAGAUCAUCAGAUUCUCACUGUGUUACCUAGGCUGCAGUGCAGUGGUGCGAUCUCAACUCACUGCAACCUCUACCUCCUGGGUUCAAGCAAUUCUCCUGCCUCAGCCUCCCAAGUAGCUGGGAUUACAGGAAUUACACACUAAUAGUGAAGAACAGGUGGCACCUGAAAUCACAGAAAAUUUAUUUGUCCUCAAUGCAAAGAUGAACUAUGAAGAGCACUUUAUUGCGUUUGAAGAAUAUAGGAAUGAUGAGUGAAAUGGUGAAGGAAGUGGAUAAACAAUGAUGUAACGACUGAGCGUCAUCUUGCAACUGAAUAAGCCAGUGAGGAACUUGGUAAAUUUGUUGAUUAUAUUUAGUUUUACAAUGUUUAAUUCUUUAUUAUUU